AACGAACGCUGGCGGCAUGCCUAACACAUGCAAGUCGAACGAGACCUUCGGGUCUAGUGGCGCACGGGUGCGUAACGCGUGGGAACCUGCCCUUAGGUUCGGAAUAACUCCCCGAAAGGGGUGCUAAUACCGGAGAAUGUCUUCGGACCAAAGAUUUAUCGCUUUUGGAUGGGCCCGCGUUGGAUUAGCUGGUUGGUAGGGUAAAAGCCUACCAAGGCGACGAUCCAUAGCUGGUCUGAGAGGAUGAUCAGCCACACUGGGACUGCGACACGGCCCAGACUCCUACGGGAGGCAGCAGUGGGGAAUAUUGGACAAUGAGCGAAAGCCUGAUCCAGCAAUGCCGCGUGAGUGAUGAAGGCCUUAGGGUUGUAAAGCUCUUUUACCCGGGAUGAUAAUGACAGUACCGGGAGAAUAAGCUCCGGCUAACUCCGUG
RNAcentral lists this ribosomal RNA (433 nucleotides) under uncultured bacterium. Its description in RNAcentral is "partial 16S ribosomal RNA". It matches the Rfam family "Bacterial small subunit ribosomal RNA", at positions 29 to 507 of the family's 1533-position model. The record is from RNAcentral.